This 22-nucleotide non-coding RNA is filed under the name Arabidopsis thaliana (thale cress). The record is from RNAcentral. Lineage: Eukaryota; Viridiplantae; Streptophyta; Magnoliopsida; Brassicales; Brassicaceae.
UGUUCAGCGUGGUUCCACUUGA